GCCUACGGGGCGCAGCAGUGGGGAAUAUUGCACAAUGGGGGAAACCCUGAUGCAGCGACGCCGCGUGAGGGAAGAAGGUUUUCGGAUUGUAAACCUCUGUGGAGGGGGACGAUAAUGACGGUACCCCUUUAGGAAGCCACGGCUAACUACGUGCCAGCAGCCGCGGUAAUACGUAGGUGGCGAGCGUUGUCCGGAAUUACUGGGUGUAAAGGGCGUGCAGCCGGAGAGGCAAGUCAGAUGUGAAAUCCGCGGGCUCAACUCGCGAACUGCAUUUGAAACUGCUUCCCUUGAGUAUCG
Molecule: ribosomal RNA, 297 nt
Filed under: uncultured bacterium
Lineage: Bacteria
Description: partial 16S ribosomal RNA
Rfam family: Bacterial small subunit ribosomal RNA
Source: RNAcentral